AGUGAACGCUGGCGGUAGGCCUAACACAUGCAAGUCGAACGGCAGCACAGUAAGAGCUUGCUCUUACGGGUGGCGAGUGGCGGACGGGUGAGGAAUACAUCGGAAUCUACUUUUUCGUGGGGGAUAACGUAGGGAAACUUACGCUAAUACCGCAUACGACCUACGGGUGAAAGCAGGGGAUCUUCGGACCUUGCGCGAUUGAAUGAGCCGAUGUCGGAUUAGCUAGUUGGCGGGGUAAAGGCCCACCAAGGCGACGAUCCGUAGCUGGUCUGAGAGGAUGAUCAGCCACACUGGAACUGAGACACGGUCCAGACUCCUACGGGAGGCAGCAGUGGGGAAUAUUGGACAAUGGGCGCAAGCCUGAUCCAGCCAUGCCGCGUGGGUGAAGAAGGCCUUCGGGUUGUAAAGCCCUUUUGUUGGGGAAGAAAAGCAGCAGGUUAAUACCCCGCUGUUCUGACGGUACCCAAAGAAUAAGCACCGGCUAACUUCGUG
Molecule: ribosomal RNA, 492 nt
Filed under: uncultured bacterium
Lineage: Bacteria
Description: partial 16S ribosomal RNA
Rfam family: Bacterial small subunit ribosomal RNA
Source: RNAcentral